Non-coding RNA from Camellia sinensis, 5228 nucleotides. The record is from RefSeq and is a predicted model, not a curated record. NCBI's taxonomy places the organism in Eukaryota, Viridiplantae, Streptophyta, Magnoliopsida, Ericales, Theaceae.
CUAGGCUUAGUUUGGGAAUUCCUUUAUUAUUUUGGCUUAUACAGUGAAAUGCCCCCAUAGAAUGGUGCUCUCUUCGGUGGCGGCGACGAUCAACGGUUCAAAGGGGAAGGGUUUCGUUCUUGUCUUCGCUUAGAUCUGGAAAAAAUCUCAGUUCGAUUCUUGAGGAUACGUGGGAAGAGUUAGAUCCGAAUGAGCUAUCAUAUGAGGUGUGUUAUCUACAGGUUGACUAUGAGGAUGGUGACACCUUGACUGUCAUUUCCUACAAACACUUGUACCAUUCUGAAUGCAUAAACAAUUGGUUAUGAAUAAAUAAGUUCAAGCUCUGGUUUUGGGGUUCCAACAUUGUAUCAUGACUCUAGGUACUUACGGUCUUGAUUCCAACUAUGUCAAUCAAAUGGGUGGUCGCAAUGUUGAGAAGGCUAAGGUGAUACAGACCUUACUCUUUGUUUCAAGGUUUAACACAUUGUUACAGUCCUUAUUUGGUAUCUGGCUUCCAUCAGUAAUUAGUGGUUCAUACUUCUUUAUUGUUAUAGUUUUAUCUGUUUCGUUUUUAUUCUUUCUGUGGGGGAGUAAUGCUUCUAUUCUUGACUAUGAACCUACAAAAAUAACAAUUUUGUAGAAAGAUGAAUAAUGAUUUUGAGUCAGAUGAAGAACAAUGCAUAUUAUGACUUCAUUUGUGUAUUGUGGUGCUGUUGGAUAUGUUAUAAGUGGUUGAAUUGUAAUGCUACCAUACACUGAUCAUUUUAUUAGUUUUAAAGGGAAAUAUAUUAGACAUAUUUCUACCUUCCUUUUUGCUUUGAACAUAGUGUUGGCAUUCUAUAUUUCAAGAAAAAGGGUACUAGUGAAUAAAUGAUAUAGAGUCAGAUAAUGUGCAUUAGAAGUAAUAGUUGUUUGUUAUUUGAGAACAUUUAUUUAUUUAUUUUUAUAUGGCUAUUUUCUAGUACUUUACAUUUUUACUCUUUUUAUUUUAUAUUUUGGGCAAUGCAAUCGAUGAGAUUAGUUUGGCAUUCCCUAAAUAUGUAGGGGUGCUGCUCUUCCCACUAAUACUCCAGGUAUCCCCUGCAUCUUUGAUCCUCAUGGAAGAGCUGGCAUAUGUAGUGAUUGACAUGUUGACAAGAUUUAUUCCCCAAAUUGAUAAGAUUUUCAAUCUUAUUUUUGUGUUGUGUUACAUGUACUCUUCUUUGAAUGAUGCCAUCUUAUCUCUUAAAUUUUUUGUCAUCUUCUCAGUCAUGAGGGCUCUCUAGAACAAUCGUAAAUUGUUUUUGGAGAUUUGUUGGAGUUGUCUUUUUAGCUGAUUAUGUGUUGUAAUCAUAUGAGAAUUGUUGUGUUCUAAAGCAUGUAGCUCAUCUGGAUUUGGACACAUCCACAUCUUUCUUUGGUGUUUAUGAUGGCCAUGGAGGUAACCAAUUUUUAUGACAUUCUUAUUGUAAGGUUUUCUAAACCUUAUGACUGUUCUAAACCUUCUGAGGUCAUUUUCUUCAAUUUUGUCGUUUGGAUGUAUAUUUCUAUGAAUAUUUGGAAGGAUAUCAAAUAUUAUGAUCAAGGUUUGAAUUUUGUCAUAAAAGUGCAUCAUUGUCAGGACCUGUAAGAUUGAGUUGCUCUUACAUGGAUAAUUAAUCAUUUUCCUUAUAAUUGAAGUGGGUGGGUUGCAAGCUAGUACUGGAAAGUCCGGAAAAGGGACUACAUUUUUUUUAAAAAAAUGUGCAUUAUUAAUUUAAUUUAAUGAUAAGAACGUGAUGUACUGAUCAUAUCUUCUUUUAAAUGAGCUAAAAUGAGAGCUUUGUAUUGGCCUCUGUAAAUUUGUCUAGCUGAUGUAGCUGGCACUCAGAAGGCAUGCACUUUGAUUCCUUUUCAGUUGCAAGUGUAGUCAGUGUAAUUUCUACUUUUUGUGGGAUCAAAAUUUUGUUUCUGAUUUUUUUUGUUCCUUGCAUAUAAUUUUGUUACAGUUUGCAUCGAGUCCUUCAUCUGUGCUGUUCUACUGUACUGGUUUUGCUCGUCCAUCUCGAGCAAUUACCUCAGCAACGUUUGGCUCUGAUUUAAAUAUUGAAACACUUGUUGCUGCUGCGGAGAGAAAGGAAACUCCUUUAGAGUUAUAGAAGAAGCUAUGUUUGGUCAAAGCCUAUUUUUGGUGAUUAUUCUUUCUCAUCCAGCCGCCAAAGCAUUUGACUUGUCCAACAAAGACAAGAGAAGCAUUGAAUAUCUGUAAAUCUGCAGUUACAACUUGCUCUUAGACGGGUUUGGAUGGCUUCUUCCAUACAUAGGGGUGUAUAACAAGGUUAGUUCCUGUUAGAUUCACUCUUCUACUGUUUUGCAAAUGCUUCCUCAGAAACAAAAAGGUUUAUUCUGUCUAUGAAAUCACAACUAAACUUGUUUAUAAAUUGAUUUUCUUGAAUAUACUAACAGCUUCACAGCAUGUAUGUCGAUUGGUUUGGAACCUUUGAAUCCUAACUCUGCUCAUUUUCUUAUAUUCUCUUUGAUUUCUAUGUUCUGUUCAUCCGGCGUCAACAGGUUGGUUUUCUCUUCCUCUCUUGUUCUCUUCUUAUCUUCUCUCCUUCUCAAAGGCAUGAUUUUUCUUCACUGUUUUAGAGAAGUUCUUAUAUGUCAUUAAAAAAUUUUUUUCGUACAAAAACUGAUUUGGAAUUUGUAAUGAAAAAACAUGUUGGCUAUUGUUUGUAAAAAAUCAUGUGCUCUUAGAUUGAAUACAAUGAAACCCCAAAAAAUAUGUUGGCUAUUGUUUGUAAAAAAAUAUGAAUUUUUGCUAAUUUUUCAUUAUGACAUUGCUUUUAUGGGGACAUUGAAUUAUCUUAUUAAUUUUGGAAAUAUUUUGUUGAUGUUUUAAAAUUUCUCGAUCAUUUCUUAAUACCUUAAGAAAUAUUUUUGUCAUUGAGUCGUUGGUUUUUGUACUUAUGUGAAGUUUCCUUUGUCAUGUAGACAAAAAAUGCAACAGGGUUAGUUGCUCCAGCUAUUGUCACGGGUUUAGGUGCCCUAACACAUACAUUGGGCACCCUCGUCCCUGUGAUAGGAGCAACUGGAUUUGCUACAGCUGCAACUGCUAUAGGAACUAUUGUCGGUAGUUUUAGAUAAUCUCUUAAUAGUUGUCGAUAUGUUUAGAAAGUUAGAUAUGCAUAGUUUUGGAUGGUUUAAACUUUUUGUACAGUUUAGAACUAAAGCAUAUAGUUUUCGAAUGUUUGGAAUGUAUAGACAAUUGUUAAAUGUUUAUAAUUUAUGGAUAUAGUUUCUUUUUGAUGUUUUAAACAAUAUUUUGGUGGUGGUUGAUUGAUGUUUUGUGAUACUUGUUUGUAAUAUUUGUUAGAUUGUACAAAAUUGGUCAAAUAGAACCUGCUCAAUUUAAAUAAAUAAUAAUAAAAAAAAAUUGCAUAUUAUACGGCAGGCAUAAGUCAUUGUAUUACAUAUUUUAUGGCACGCAAUCAGCGUCGUUAUUUGUCUCACCAAUUAAUGGCGUGCAAAAGUAGUCGUAGAAAAAGUAACAAUGACGCACAAAAUCUGCCGUCAAAUAUUUUUAACGGCGUACUAUAGUAUGUCGUAGAAAAAGUAACGACGACGUACAAAAUUUGUCGUUAAAUAGUUUUUAACAGCGUACGAAGCAUGCCGUUGAAAGUGAAUGACUUUCCGUGACUGGUCAUAAUAUGACGCGCGCUGCACGUUGUAGAAGGGUUUUUACGGCGUGCAUUGCGCGCCGUAAAACCCUUUUUGGUUGUAGUGAACAACUCGACUGUUUUACAUGCUUUAACUCCCUCAUUAUAUGUGAUUUGAAAUUCCAUGUUUAAAUGUGUGCAUUACAUGUUUAUAAACUUGUAUCUGUCGGUUAUGAGAAAAUCUGUUGAAAUUAGAACCUUUGGACUGGAAAUUGAAAGCUUUGCGCGGUAAGCCAAAAUUGACUUUAUAUCUGUGUUUAGCAUGAUUUUUGGAACUUAUGGGGAAAUUUUAGAAAAUUACAAUUCGUAAUGAAUUAAUUGAAUUUAAUUAGCUUAAGUUUUAGUUUUAGUUCAUGUGAGCUUUAUUAGCUAAAUCUAAUUGGUGAUUAGCUUAAAUUAUCUAUAUAUGUGUGUGAGUCUUAGCUUAGGGACUCAUAAAAUAUCUCUUGGGAAGGAGAGAGAGAGAGAGAGAGAGAGAGAGAGAGAGAGAGAGAGAGAGAGCUAGGAAUUUGAAGAAAUCAAGGGGAGAAUUCACAGAUUUGAGUGAAGGUAAGUUAAUAUAUCUUUGAUCCUUGUGGAUAACUCAUCAAUUUCAUAAAAUCAAGGAUUUAGUUAAAGAUUUAACAUUUAAAUGAACUAAGGUUUUGAGUUAUGGAUAAUAUGGGUUAAAUUUAAGAAUUGAACUUUAAAUCCUUUGAUUUUUCUUGAUUUGAGUUCCAUCUUGGGAAAGACUUAUGAAAUGAGUUCUAGGGUUUAUAGAUUAUGAUCUUGAUUGAACACAUCUCAUGAAAAUGAACAUGUUGUCUUUGGGUUGUGUGAUUAAAGAGUUAAUUCCUUUAUUUUUAGUUUGAUUUGCAUUGGAUUGUGAGAAAUUGUGAUUUAAUCUUGAGUCUUUGCAUGCUUUGAACUCAUGUAAGCAUAUAUGUAAUUAUAUACAACAUGUAUAACAUGAAAAGAUGAAGGAAAUUAAGGAAAUAUGGAAAUUAUGGUUCUAUAUGUCAAAUUAAAGUAAGUCAUGAUCUCUUUGAGCUUGAGUUUCAUGCUUAUUAUGUUUAUGUCAUGUUUUUGAAGUCAAAGUGCUUGAAUUGGGCCUUAGAAAUGCAUUUGGAAAGCUUGAAUUUGUUGGAUUUUCGGACUAUACAAACAGAGCCUAGAACCACACUUGCGGGGCUCACAGUUGCAUGUGCCGGAUGCAUAGCCACAUGUGCGAAAAACAGAGCAAGCAAGUCGAACAUUCUGAAAUAAAAGCACGUGCGGUGGGGGUCUUCUGCACUCUGGGAAAUUGGAAGGAAAAUUGAUGCAUUUUGUUUAUCUUUUUGACCCUUUAAAUUUGUUAAUGUGUAUUUAAGCCCUUCCGAAAUGCUUAAAGAUGAAUAUAAAUUGAACGAAACAGUAAAAUGAUUAAGAGAAGAAGCUAAGAAAAGAAUGAAUUACUUAUCAAGUUGUGUGUGUGUAAUGUGCAGGUCACUCGCCAGAAGGGACCGUUGCACGAUCGAAUCACUGUGUUCAACCUAAAGGUCAGCCCUAGGUCAGCUUUAGGAGUCUUUUUGGUGGACCUGCUAUGAUAAGCCU